Molecule: small nucleolar RNA, 68 nt
Organism: Scleropages formosus (Asian bonytongue)
Lineage: Eukaryota; Metazoa; Chordata; Actinopteri; Osteoglossiformes; Osteoglossidae
Product: small nucleolar RNA SNORD52
Source: Ensembl
UGUAAUGAUGAUUCCUUUAGACUAGAGUCUCUGAUUUAAAACUGAAGUUUUUCACAGUGCACUGAACA